This 2414-nucleotide long non-coding RNA is filed under the name Homo sapiens (human). RNAcentral describes it as "HSALNT0160598". The record is from RNAcentral. Lineage: Eukaryota; Metazoa; Chordata; Mammalia; Primates; Hominidae.
UCUGAAUCCGCCCCGACCUCAACCCAGCUCUCUUUCUGUCUUGUCAGUGGGAGAGGACUGAGUCAGGAGAAUAUCAAGCUGUUUUAUUUCAGCAAAUGCUCAUAACAGCUGUAUUGCUGUGCGAAAAGCGCUGUGCUUUAAUCCUGUUACCUUAAAUUUAGGUCGAACUCUACCUUGUCACACUGCUCAGCCUUCUGAGCCUUUCUCCAUCUCAGACAGAGACACGAAGGCUUCUUAGAACAACUGCUUCUUAUUGUUAUGAAGGUUAAAUGAGUUACUUUGGGAAGGCAGAUUGUUAACCACAGUGCUCUAUAAAAGGUGUGAUCAGGUAUUAACUUGCUGGCUUCCCCUCUGUUAGAGUGGGGAGCACCCUUUACAUGUUAAUUCAUCUUGAAAGGGAGGUGUAGACUUCAGGUAGGUCAGGUGCAUAUAAACUUCUUGUGGUGCAACCUCAGACCAACUCUUCCUCCUCGUAAGAACUGCUGCACUCCAACUGCAGGAGGUGUAUGUCUACACCUUGCCUCUUGCAUUAAGUUGUAAAUAUUAGUGAAGGUACCAAACCUCAUUCAUUAAACUUAGCACAGUGCCUGGUACAUGGCAGGCACUCAAUGAACACCCGUAAUCUUGUCUUAUCUCCUUAUACCUGCAGUUAAUGUCAUAUACAAUAGAUAUUUGAUUAAAGAAUACAUACACAUAAAGCUUAGCUGGGUGCUGUGGCUCAUGCCUGUAAUCCCAGCACUUUUGGAGGCCUAAGCAGGUGGAUUAUUUGAGCUCAGAAGUUCGAGACCAGCCUGGCUAACAUGUGAAACCCCGUCUCUAUUAAAAAUACAAAAAUUAGCUGGGUGUGGUGGCGCACACCUGUAAUCCUAGCUACUCAAGAGGUGGAGGCAGGAGAAUUGCUGGAAUCUUAAGAGGUGGAAGUUGCAGUGAGCAGAGAUUGUACCACUGCACUCCAGCCUGGGCGACAGAGUGAGAGAUACCGUGUCUCAAAAACAAAAAAUAAAACGUAGAAUAAGUUAGGAAAUUAUUUGUUAAAUAUCUGGAAAAGCUCUUUUACCAGAUAUCCAAAUGGCUUCUUUGCCUACUUCAGAUCUUUGCUCAAAUGUUGCCUUCUUAAGGAGGCCUUCCCUGCACAUCCUACUGAAAAUAUGCAGAUUCCUCCAGCAUCUCCGAGGAAUCCAAAAGCCUGGCAUACUGGCAAAAGGGUUUCACCAUAUUGCACAGGAUGGUUUCGAACUUCUGAACCCAAGCAAUCCACCCUCCUUGGCAUCCCAAAGUGUUGGGAUUACAGAGGUGAGCCACCUCACCCAGCAUGUAUACUUUGGAUAACAGUUCUUUACCAGAUGUGUGUUUUGCAAAUAUAUUCUCCCAGUUUGUGGCUUGUAUUUUUAUUCUAUUGACAUUGUCUUUAACAGAACAGACAUUUUUAAUUUUAAAGAAGUCCAUCUUAUAAAUUAUUUUCUUCAUGAAUUAUGCCUUGAUGUAGUAUCCAAAAAGUCACCACCUACCCAAGAUCAACUAGGUUUUCUCUUAUGUUAAUUUCUAAGAGUUUUAUAGUUUUGCAUUGUACACUUAGGUCUGUGAUUCAUUUGUAGUUAAUACUUAUGAAGGGCAUGAGAUCUGUGUCUGGAUCUAUCUUUUUGCAUGUGGAUAUCCAGUUCUUCCAGCACCAUUUGUUGAAAAUACUAUCUUUUCUUCAUUAUAUUGCCUUUACUCUGUUGCCAAAGAUGAGUUGACUAUAUUUAUGUGGGUCUGUUUGGGGCUCUUUAUUUUGUUUUGAUUGGUCUACUUGUCCAUUCUUUCACCAAUAUGAUGCAAUUUUGAUUGCUGUAGCUUUACAGUAAAUCUCAAAGUCAGGUAAUGACGGUCCUCUAACUUUGUUUUUUUCUUUAAUAUUGUGUUGGCUAUUCUGGGUCUUUUGCCUCUCCAUAUAAAGUUUAGAAUCAGUUUGUCUAUAAUCACAAUAUAACUUGCUGAGAUUCUGAUUGGGAUUCCAUUGAGUCUGUAGAUCAAUUUGGGAAGAAAUGACAUCUUGACAAUAUUGAGUCUUCUUAUCCAUGAACAUGUGUUAUCUCUUUAUUUAUUUAGUUCUUCUCUGACAUCUUUCAUCAGAGUUUUGUAGUUUCCCUCAUAUAGGUCUUAUACAUAUUUUCUAUUAGGUUUAUACCUACGUAUCUCAUUUUUUGUAUGCUGAAUGGUAUUGUGUUUUUAAUUUUAAAUUCCACUUGUUUAUUGCUAUUGUACAGAAAAGCAAUUGACUUUUGUAUAUUAACCUUGUAGCCUGCACCCUUACUAUAGUUCCUUGUUAGUUCCAGGAGAUUUUUAAAAAUUAUUUUUAUUUUAGAUUUUCUGCAUAGAUAAUCAUGUUAUUUGCAAAUAAAGAUAGUCUUGUUUCUUUCUGCCCAAUCUGUACA